AUUGAACGCUGGCGGCAGGCUUAACACAUGCAAGUCGAGCGGGGGAAGGUAGCUUGCUACCGGACCUAGCGGCGGACGGGUGAGUAAUGCUUAGGAAUCUGCCUAUUAGUGGGGGACAACAUCUCGAAAGGGAUGCUAAUACCGCAUACGUCCUACGGGAGAAAGCAGGGGAUCUUCGGACCUUGCGCUAAUAGAUGAGCCUAAGUCGGAUUAGCUAGUUGGUGGGGUAAAGGCCUACCAAGGCGACGAUCUGUAGCGGGUCUGAGAGGAUGAGCCUCCACACUUGGACUGAGACACGGCCCAGACUCCUACGGGGGGGAGCAGUGGGGAAUAUUGGACAAUGGGGGGAACCCUGAUCCAGCCAUGCCGCGUGUGUGAAGAAGGCCUUAUGGUUGUAAAGCACUUUAAGCGAGGAGGAGGCUACUCUAGUUAAUACCUAGGGAUAGUGGACGUUACUCGCAGAAUAAGCACCGGCUAACUCUGUGCCAGCCGCCGCGGUAA
RNAcentral lists this ribosomal RNA (501 nucleotides) under uncultured bacterium. RNAcentral describes it as "partial 16S ribosomal RNA". It matches the Rfam family "Bacterial small subunit ribosomal RNA", at positions 30 to 523 of the family's 1533-position model. The record is from RNAcentral.